RNAcentral lists this transfer RNA (82 nucleotides) under Pseudocercospora fijiensis CIRAD86. Its description in RNAcentral is "tRNA-Ser (AGA) (tRNA-Ser-AGA-1-1)". It matches the Rfam family "tRNA". From Rfam's summary of the family: Transfer RNA (tRNA) molecules are approximately 80 nucleotides in length. Lineage: Eukaryota; Fungi; Ascomycota; Dothideomycetes; Mycosphaerellales; Mycosphaerellaceae. The record is from RNAcentral.
GGUGAGAUGGCUGAGCGGUCUAAAGCGAUAGACUAGAAAUCUAUUCUCUUCGGAGGCGUAGGUUCAAAUCCUGCUCUCAUCG